This 490-nucleotide ribosomal RNA is filed under the name uncultured bacterium. Its description in RNAcentral is "partial 16S ribosomal RNA". It matches the Rfam family "Bacterial small subunit ribosomal RNA", at positions 30 to 507 of the family's 1533-position model. The record is from RNAcentral.
AUUGAACGCUGGCGGCAUGCUUUACACAUGCAAGUCGGACGGCAGCACAGAGAAGCUUGCUUCUUGGGUGGCGAGUGGCGAACGGGUGAGUAAUAUAUCGGAACGUACCGAGUAAUGGGGGAUAACUAAUCGAAAGAUUAGCUAAUACCGCAUAUUCUCUGAGGAGGAAAGCAGGGGACCUUCGGGCCUUGCGUUAUUCGAGCGGCCGAUAUCUGAUUAGCUAGUUGGUGGGGUAAAGGCCUACCAAGGCGACGAUCAGUAGCGGGUCUGAGAGGAUGAUCCGCCACACUGGGACUGAGACACGGCCCAGACUCCUACGGGAGGCAGCAGUGGGGAAUUUUGGACAAUGGGCGCAAGCCUGAUCCAGCCAUGCCGCGUGUAUGAAGAAGGCCUUCGGGUUGUAAAGGACUUUUGUCAGGGAAGAAAAGGCUGUUGCUAAUAUCGACAGAUGAUGACGGUACCUGAAGAAUAAGCACCGGCUAACUACGUG